UCCCUGGUGGUCCAGUGGUUAAGAAUCUGCCUUCCAAUGCAGGAGACACAGGUUCGAUCCCUGGCCGGGGAA
RNAcentral lists this transfer RNA (72 nucleotides) under Bos taurus (domestic cattle). It matches the Rfam family "tRNA". Rfam says of the family: Transfer RNA (tRNA) molecules are approximately 80 nucleotides in length. Their secondary structure includes four short double-helical elements and three loops (D, anti-codon, and T loops). Further hydrogen bonds mediate the characteristic L-shaped molecular structure. tRNAs have two regions of fundamental functional importance: the anti-codon, which is responsible for specific mRNA codon recognition, and the 3' end, to which the tRNAs corresponding amino acid is attached (by aminoacyl-tRNA synthetases). tRNAs cope with the degeneracy of the genetic code in two manners: having more than one tRNA (with a specific anti-codon) for a particular amino acid; and 'wobble' base-pairing, i.e. permitting non-standard base-pairing at the 3rd anti-codon position. Lineage: Eukaryota; Metazoa; Chordata; Mammalia; Artiodactyla; Bovidae. The record is from Rfam by way of RNAcentral. RNAcentral also lists the same sequence under 4 other names.